UGGGGGCGUAGCUCAGUUGGGAGAGUGCUUGACUGGCAGUCAAGAGGUCGUGGGUUCGAGCCCCAUCGUCUCCAUC
Molecule: transfer RNA, 76 nt
Filed under: Trichococcus sp. ES5
Lineage: Bacteria; Bacillati; Bacillota; Bacilli; Lactobacillales; Carnobacteriaceae
Also listed under: 1 other name
Rfam family: tRNA
About the family: Transfer RNA (tRNA) molecules are approximately 80 nucleotides in length. Their secondary structure includes four short double-helical elements and three loops (D, anti-codon, and T loops).
Source: RNAcentral